AGGCGCAGCACAGGUACGUGGGCGGGCGGAUCGUGGUGGCUGCGCUUGCGAGGACCCUGAGGUAGAUUGGGUGGUUUCAACAGGAACGCAUCCACUGUCUGAGAGUUUAAACUUGAUUUUGUGAGGGGACGAACAGCGUGACAAUUAAAAGAAGAUCUGGGAAUCAAAAGCUUCCUGAGGCCUUCACCAGAAGCAGAUGCUGGUGCCGUGCUUCUACAGCCUGCAGAACUGAAGGACUUUACAGCUUCUCUUUCGCAUAUCCAAAUUGCCAGCAUCACCGCUCUUGCACUCCAAGCCAUUAUUAAGUAAAGUAAAGAACACAAACACUGUGAUACUGCUACACUUGAUCUGAUAACCAAGAAGUCUACUAAGUGACUAACAGUUAAUAUUUUUGGACAUGAGGUGACUGCAGUUAACUAAAACCAUGGAAAGCAAACCCAUAGAUAAAGGGAUACUAUGCAGAGCAACUGGGAACCUAAUUCUGACCAAAAAGGAGGAAUUGUUUGGCUAAUUGGAAGUGACAGAAACCUUGGGAGAAAGCAACCGCAUACCAAGGAUAAUUAUAAGAAGGUAACAUGGGCCCUAAAGGAUAGUGUCAAGAAACCUGAAACCCCCAAAUGAGGUGAGACUUGCAAAAAAUGCUAAGGAAGGACAAAAAACAGGCCUUUUAAAAUUCUGUUCAGAACCAGAAGAUGAUCAAGAAAGGGAAAUGCCCACUAGCAGCUUCUACUGUAAGGUUAGAGCUGACAGAGAAAGAACUCCUUAACUACUAUUUGCUUCAUUCUCUACAAAGGAAACUAGAGAAGUGGGUUGAUGUAAUAGAAAGAACAUGUGUUUGUGGGGCCAGGCAAACCUGGGUUUAAUUCUGUUUCAACACUGCUUAACAAAAUUUAUGGGAGGCUAUUGUUUUGGAUUGGGCUCCUGCACCAGGCCCCUCCGGACCAAACCAAAAUGGAGUCACUCAUACUAAAACUCCAGGUCACUGAACCAAAACUAAGUUGUUUAUCUGACCUUCCAAGAAAUCAGGAGGGAGAAAACAACCAAAUCUCCAAACAGGCCAGUUUUAAUCAGCGUGAUAAGGAAGUCCUCUCUUUUUUAACCCUAUAAAGAAAGUAACUUUUUGAAAUGAUCAAUACACUUUGUAUUCCUUAGUUCUGCUUUCUUUAGCCCCUUUCUGCCUAUAAAGCCCACUUCCUCUGCUCAACUUACUGAAGCAGUAUUCCAUUUUAUAGAAUGAGAUGCUGCCCAAUUCUGGAAUCACUAAUAAAAGCCAAUUAGAUCUUUACAUUUGUUGAAAUUUUGUCUUUGACAACAUUACUAGUUAUAUUAUUCUGGGUAUCCUUUUCCCCAUCUGUAAAAUGGACAUAGCGAUAUCCUUCCCAUCAGAUUUUUCUCAUUAAUAGAAGUAAUACAUUCAAAACACUGAGCCAGGCUCACACCAGUGAGCAACUUGUUAAUAUUACUCAGAAGCAUAUUAUAGAUAUUGACAG
This is a long non-coding RNA of Homo sapiens (human), 1490 nucleotides long. Ensembl annotates it as TMEM161B divergent transcript. Its record names the gene TMEM161B-DT. The record is from Ensembl. Lineage: Eukaryota; Metazoa; Chordata; Mammalia; Primates; Hominidae.